AACGAACGCUGGCGGCGUGCCUAACACAUGCAAGUCGAACGAGAAAGGUCGCAAGACUGAGUACAGUGGCGCACGGGUGAGUAAUACAUAGGAAUCUUCCCUUUAGUGAAGAAUACCCUGGAGAAAUCCAGGCUAAUACUGCAUAAGCCCAGAAAUGGGGAAAGGUGGCCUCAAGCUACCGCUGAAGGAUGAGCCUGUGUCCUAUUAGUUAGUUGGCAGGGUAAUGGCCUACCAAGACAAAGAUGGGUAUCCGGCCUGAGAGGGUGUACGGACACACUGGAACUGAAACACGGUCCAGACUCCUACGGGAGGCAGCAGUGGGGAAUAUUGCACAAUGGGCGCAAGCCUGAUGCAGCGACGCCCGCGUGGAGGAUGACGGUCUUCGGAUUGUAAACUCCUGUUAAGU
This 406-nucleotide ribosomal RNA is filed under the name uncultured bacterium. RNAcentral's name for it is "bacterial SSU rRNA". It matches the Rfam family "Bacterial small subunit ribosomal RNA", at positions 29 to 441 of the family's 1533-position model. The record is from RNAcentral.